GAGGUAGGUCCCACAAUCAAUAAUAAGCACCACAAGAGCAGGUCCAGCCACAACACUGGCUCUGUUAGGCAAGUGUCCACAGGGACUUGCCACAGUAAUGGAGGCUCAGAUGAGUGCCUCCAGGCAUUUCCGGUUCCUGGCAUCCCUGUAGAUAGGCUGAGACCUACCCAAAACGAGGGGAGAACUGUCCACGGAUCCAUAAACAGGCUUAUCUAAGAAUGAUCAGCUGAGCACUGUGUAUGGACAUGGGGGAUUGAUGACAACCAAGGUCUCUUUCGAGCAUGGAGAGUCCAUGGUCCCAUGAUGGUGUGUUACAUGCUUGAAGACCACAGACUAAAACAGAUACUGCUUCACAGGACUCUGAGUGAAGUUACACUGUCCAACUUUGUAGAGCUCUUCCCAUCUCACUGGUGUGGGAGCUACUGGAAAAGCCUCAGGACAUGAAAGUCAAAGAAUGCAGACCAGAAUGGAAAAUAUUCCUUUGGGAGAUGUAUCAGCUUCAGAACUAGAAAUCAAUGGUACUGGCUAUCUUGAGAGAUGGUCACCUACAUGUCCCUGUGGGCCUUAGCUGCUAAGUGAAGAGGAAUGUGUGACUGGAAUUUAUUCUCAGUGUGACUGGAAUGUGUGACUGGAAUUUAUUUCUCAGUAGGUGUCCUUGAUAGUUUCUUACAUACACAGUGUAAACAGUUUACUGCUGUCUUUUUCAGGUGGUAGGUCAGGCAUUCUCAACAAAUACUCAUGUCAUCUUCAUAAAAUCUUUAGUUAGAAACUUUUUGAGGUAUUGCUCUGUGCACAAUCCAACUUCACUAAUACUUGGAAUCAGUAUUCCAUCCAAAGAGAGACAGGCAGCACACAGUAGGUCCAAACACAUAUUAGGUCUGUUUUGAGAAGACAUUUCUCUCUCUCCAGAUGAGCUAUGUGCUCUUCUAGG
Mustela erminea (ermine) is the source of this 931-nucleotide long non-coding RNA. RefSeq lists it as uncharacterized. The record is from RefSeq and is a predicted model, not a curated record. The transcript is spliced from 3 exons. NCBI's taxonomy places the organism in Eukaryota, Metazoa, Chordata, Mammalia, Carnivora, Mustelidae.